RNAcentral lists this ribosomal RNA (253 nucleotides) under uncultured bacterium. Its description in RNAcentral is "partial 16S ribosomal RNA". It matches the Rfam family "Bacterial small subunit ribosomal RNA", at positions 524 to 776 of the family's 1533-position model. The record is from RNAcentral.
UACAGAGGUCUCAAGCGUUGUUCGGAUUCAUUGGGCGUAAAGGGUGCGUAGGCGGCGCGGUAAGUCGGGUGUGAAAUCUCAGGGCUCAACCCUGAAACUGCAUUCGAUACUGCCUUGCUCGAGGACUGGAGAGGAGAUUGGAAUUCACGGUGUAGCAGUGAAAUGCGUAGAUAUCGUGAGGAAGACCAGUGGCGAAGGCGGAUCUCUGGACAGUUCCUGACGCUGAGGCACGAAGGCCAGGGGAGCAAACGGG